UGACAAUGCCUUGAGAAUUUUUGCCCAAACCUGUGCCUUCGACAAAGCCCAUCCUUGCCAUCAUCUUUGAGCCAAAACCUUUGGUAUGCUUUUCAAAAGCUCCCAAGCUUUUAUGUUUAGCAUGAUUUUCAUAUCUUCCAGUGCUUUGAGGUUUAUUCUCGAAAGAGUCAUCAAUAGUGUUAGGGAAGUUGGCACCCAAACCAAGUGAUUUAGGCCUUUGGAUCACUUCGAUGGGCUCUGCCAUACCUUGACCAGCUUUUCCCAGACCUCCACCUUCUACAAAUCCCAUUUUUGCCAUCAUCUUGGAUCCAAAACCCUUAGUGUGGACCUCAAAUGCACCAACUUUUGCUGAGCUGAUUGUAACCUUAUUUUCAGAAUUUUCAGUCUCCAUUGUCAUACUAUCAUCAACUGUUUCAGGCAUUGUGCCACUUGAUACAAAUGACACUGGUUGAUUGGCGUAUAAACAACUCCCUACCCGUCUCUUGGAUGCACUGACAUUCUCACUGUUGACUGGGUUCUUUGAUGAUUUGCUCCAAGCUUGAAAGUCCAGUGGCCUCUGCUUCAUCCUAUUUCUGUCUGCAGUUGCUGAUUUUGCUCUUGAGCAUUCAUUAACAGUGAAAUCGGCAUCCUCAUUUCCAGCUCCUAUCAGCUUUUCUAGACGGAGUUUAUCACUUGGUGAUGGCAUGCUUGUGUGCGGAGUUCUUGUCACUGUUACAAAUCUUUUCUUACCCGAACCUUGGCAGCCACUGCGUAAACGGUAAAUUGCUGCCAAUCGUUUUACCUGGGAACAAUCUCGGGAGUGCAUAGGUUGAAAAGCAAACAUGUCCACCUGUUCCAAAACAAUCUGUUCCAGUUUCACAUUUAUUUUCUCAAGGUCAACUCCCCUUUGCAGCAUUCUUUCACGACGUUUGGCAGCAAUCAUCUCCUUUCGGUGUUUCUUUUUCGCACCUGGAAAAUUUCUAGAAUUUUUACUGUUUUGUGCCUUUAAAGGCCAAGACUGAGGCAACCGAAAAGCAAGCUUCUUUUUGGCAGAAACAGUUCUUGGAUCUUUUACAAGCAUAAGGUCAUCCAAACCUGAUGGCCAAGGAU
RNAcentral lists this unclassified non-coding RNA (1089 nucleotides) under Hevea brasiliensis (rubber tree). The record is from RNAcentral. Lineage: Eukaryota; Viridiplantae; Streptophyta; Magnoliopsida; Malpighiales; Euphorbiaceae.